GAGGGUAUAGCUCAAAUGGUAGGGUGCAUGCUCAGCAUGCAUGAAGACCUGGGUUCAAUCCUUAGUACUUCCA
RNAcentral lists this transfer RNA (73 nucleotides) under Camelus bactrianus (Bactrian camel). It matches the Rfam family "tRNA". Rfam says of the family: Transfer RNA (tRNA) molecules are approximately 80 nucleotides in length. Their secondary structure includes four short double-helical elements and three loops (D, anti-codon, and T loops). The record is from Rfam by way of RNAcentral. RNAcentral also lists the same sequence under 2 other names. Lineage: Eukaryota; Metazoa; Chordata; Mammalia; Artiodactyla; Camelidae.